CUGGCUCAGGACGAACGCUGGCGGCGUGCUUAACACAUGCAAGUCGAACGAUGAACUCCAGCUUGCUGGGGGGAUUAGUGGCGAACGGGUGAGUAACACGUGAGUAACCUGCCCCUGACUCUGGGAUAAGCGCUGGAAACGGCGUCUAAUACCGGAUAUGACAAUCGACGGCAUCGUCUGGUUGUGGAAAGAAUUUCGGUUGGGGAUGGACUCGCGGCCUAUCAGGUUGUUGGUGAGGUAAUGGCUCACCAAGCCUACGACGGGUAGCCGGCCUGAGAGGGUGACCGGCCACACUGGGACUGAGACACGGCCCAGACUCCUACGGGAGGCAGCAGUGGGGAAUAUUGCACAAUGGGCGCAAGCCUGAUGCAGCAACGCCGCGUGAGGGACGACGGCCUUCGGGUUGUAAACCUCUUUUAGUAGGGAAGAAGC
RNAcentral lists this ribosomal RNA (432 nucleotides) under Okibacterium sp. Its description in RNAcentral is "bacterial SSU rRNA". It matches the Rfam family "Bacterial small subunit ribosomal RNA", at positions 19 to 451 of the family's 1533-position model. The record is from RNAcentral. Lineage: Bacteria; Bacillati; Actinomycetota; Actinomycetes; Micrococcales; Microbacteriaceae.